This 426-nucleotide ribosomal RNA is filed under the name Lactococcus lactis. RNAcentral describes it as "bacterial SSU rRNA". It matches the Rfam family "Bacterial small subunit ribosomal RNA", at positions 28 to 436 of the family's 1533-position model. Lineage: Bacteria; Bacillati; Bacillota; Bacilli; Lactobacillales; Streptococcaceae. The record is from RNAcentral.
GACGAACGCUGGCGGCGUGCCUAAUACAUGCAAGUUGAGCGCUGAAGGUUGGUACUUGUACCAACUGGAUGAGCAGCGAACGGGUGAGUAACGCGUGGGGAAUCUGCCUUUGAGCGGGGGACAACAUUUGGAAACGAAUGCUAAUACCGCAUAAAAACUUUAAACACAAGUUUUAAGUUUGAAAGAUGCAAUUGCAUCACUCAAAGAUGAUCCCGCGUUGUAUUAGCUAGUUGGUGAGGUAAAGGCUCACCAAGGCGAUGAUACAUAGCCGACCUGAGAGGGUGAUCGGCCACAUUGGGACUGAGACACGGCCCAAACUCCUACGGGAGGCAGCAGUAGGGAAUCUUCGGCAAUGGACGAAAGUCUGACCGAGCAAACGCCCGCGUGAGUGAAAGAAAGGUUUUUCGGAUUCGUAAAAACUUCUGU